GAGUUUGAUCGUGGCUCAGGACGAACGCUGGCGGCGUGCCUAACACAUGCAAGUCGAGCGGAGACAGUGAGUAGCUUGCUAUGAGCUGUUUUAGCGGCGGACGGGUGAGUAACGCGUGAGCAACCUUUCCCAGACAGGGGAAUAACACACCGAAAGGUGUACUAAUACCGCAUAAGACCACGGGAUCACAUGGUUCUGGGGUAAAAGAUUUAUCGGUUUGGGUGGGCUCGCGUCCGAUUAGGUAGUUGGUGAGGUAACGGCCCACCAAGCCGACGAUCGGUAGCCGACCUGAGAGGGUGAUCGGCCACAUUGGGACUGAGACACGGCCCAAACUCCUACGGGAGGCAGCAGUGGGGAAUAUUGGGCAAUGGGGGAACCCUGACCCAGCAACGCCGCGUGGAGGAAGAAGGUUUUCGGAUCGUAAACUCCUGUCCUUGGAGAC
RNAcentral lists this ribosomal RNA (442 nucleotides) under uncultured microorganism. RNAcentral's name for it is "bacterial SSU rRNA". It matches the Rfam family "Bacterial small subunit ribosomal RNA", at positions 9 to 446 of the family's 1533-position model. The record is from RNAcentral.